This 253-nucleotide ribosomal RNA is filed under the name uncultured bacterium. RNAcentral's name for it is "partial 16S ribosomal RNA". It matches the Rfam family "Bacterial small subunit ribosomal RNA", at positions 524 to 776 of the family's 1533-position model. The record is from RNAcentral.
GACGAACCGUGCGAACGUUAUUCGGAAUCACUGGGCUUAAAGGGUAUGUAGGCGGUCUGCCAAGUCAGGGGUGAAAUCCUUCGGCUCAACCGGAGAACUGCCCCUGAUACUGGCGGGCUCGAGGGAGAUAGAGGCAGCCGGAACUACCGGUGGAGCGGUGAAAUGCGUUGAUAUCGGUAGGAACGCCAGAGGCGAAAGCGGGCUGCUGGAUCUCAUCUGACGCUGAUACACGAAAGCUAGGGGAGCGAACGGG